UACAAUGGAGAGUUUGAUCCUGGCUCAGGAUUAACGCUAGCGGGAGGCCUAACACAUGCAAGUCGAGCGGGAUUAUGUUAUUAGCUUGCUAAUGACAUAUGAGAGCGGCGUACGGGUGCGUAACACGUGUGCAACCUGCCUUUAUCAGGGGGAUAGCCUUCCGAAAGGGAGAUUAAUACCCCAUAAUAUACAGAUUGGCAUCAAUUGGUAUUGAAAACUACGGUGGAUAGAGAUGGGCACGCGCAAGAUUAGAUAGUUGGUGAGGUAACGGCUCACCAAGUCGAUGAUCUUUAGGGGGCCUGAGAGGGUGAUCCCCCACACUGGUACUGAGACACGGACCAGACUCCUACGGGAGGCAGCAGUGAGGAAUAUUGGACAAUGGGUGAGAGCCUGAUCCAGCCAUCCCGCGUGAAGGAUGAAGGACCUAUGGUUUGUAAACUUCUUUUGUACAGGGAUAAACCUAUCUACGUGUA
Molecule: ribosomal RNA, 473 nt
Filed under: Bergeyella sp.
Lineage: Bacteria; Pseudomonadati; Bacteroidota; Flavobacteriia; Flavobacteriales; Weeksellaceae
Description: bacterial SSU rRNA
Rfam family: Bacterial small subunit ribosomal RNA
Source: RNAcentral